GACGAACGCUGGCGGCGUGCUUAACACAUGCAAGUCGAGCGGUAAGGCCCUUCGGGGUACACGAGCGGCGAACGGGUGAGUAACACGUGGGUGACCUGCCCUUAGCUCUGGGAUAAGCCUGGGAAACUGGGUCUAAUACCGGAUAUGACCUCAUGACGCAUGUUGUGGGGUGGAAAGCCUUGUGCGGCUAGGGAUGGGCCCGCGGCCUAUCAGCUUGUUGGUGGGGUGAUGGCCUACCAAGGCGACGACGGGUAGCCGGCCUGAGAGGGCGACCGGCCACACUGGGACUGAGACACGGCCCAGACUCCUACGGGAGGCAGCAGGU
RNAcentral lists this ribosomal RNA (325 nucleotides) under uncultured bacterium. Its description in RNAcentral is "bacterial SSU rRNA". It matches the Rfam family "Bacterial small subunit ribosomal RNA", at positions 28 to 355 of the family's 1533-position model. The record is from RNAcentral.